ACGGCCAUGCUUGAUGAAGUCUUCAAUAUCAUCCUGGAGAUCUAUGCACUCCUCUGUAUUGUGGCCGUGAUCAUGAUGGUAUAGAUAGUACUUAUUAUGGUUCCUCAGAUCUAGGAGUGUCCAAAGCCUCCUUGCUUCUGGGAGUUGCUCUCUUAUUUACAUUAACACCUGUGCCUUGGGUGUGUUCAAUGGAGUGUAGUUGGUGUACC
This 209-nucleotide long non-coding RNA is filed under the name Elaeis guineensis (African oil palm). RNAcentral's name for it is "long non-coding RNA (EGUI_LNC046962)". The record is from RNAcentral. Lineage: Eukaryota; Viridiplantae; Streptophyta; Magnoliopsida; Arecales; Arecaceae.